This 980-nucleotide long non-coding RNA is filed under the name Phaseolus vulgaris (common bean). RNAcentral's name for it is "long non-coding RNA (PVUL_LNC001689)". Lineage: Eukaryota; Viridiplantae; Streptophyta; Magnoliopsida; Fabales; Fabaceae. The record is from RNAcentral.
GAGGAAAUUUUUGGAGGGGCACAAUUGAGAGCUUAGGUAUGGAUAACAAACAAAAUUCUAAAGGCUAUUUUUUCAUAUUGUGAUUGGUGUAUGUACCCUAGAAGAUGUAUCCGUAGUAUCAAAAGUUAGAUCUUUGGAGGGCAAUCAUAUGCUGGUGUUUCAGGUAGGGGGCAAAAAAGGGCGGCUUUUUAGAUGCAUAACGGUUAAAAAAGGGCUCUAUUUUUUGUUAUCUUCAUUUUUUCUACAUGUACAGUGUCAUUGGUACUCUUGGUACUCUUUUUGUUUUGCAGGGUGAAAGGUUGUUGUCCAGUUCUCUUUUUGGUAUAAUCUUUGUUGGUACCGGUAUUGGCAUAUGGUCAUAUCGAUACCAGAGAAGAUCUUGGAGUAUGAAGGAGCUGGAAGGAGAAGAUGCAGAAAUAGAAGAAUCUACAGCAGAUGCAAAGUACAGGUGAAGGGAAAGGUUAUGCAAAAAUGGAUUGCAUGGAAACCGUGGAGUACACAUAGCAUGCAAGGAAGAGGGAAUGAAAAUGGCUUUGCAUAUUUGGAAAGGGUUCUUACCUAUGACAAUGCCAACGGUCACAAGAGGCAACUGGCUAGCCAGGUGCAAGUGUGGAAACUAGUCAUAGGAAUAACUAUCUAAAAUGCAGUGUUUUUGUUUGGUAUUGCAUAUCAAUUGAAACAGUAUGUGGUAAGGUAGAAUACAAGGAAAGAUCAUCAAUGGUUGUAUGAGUAAAAUUGUUUUUGUGUAUUAUGGAAUCUGGGCAUCUUCUUUGGUAUAAAGUUUAGUUCCUAGCUCUAUGAAAGUAUUAAGAUUAAUGUAGGUAGUGUUUUUUGGGAGAUAUUUGGUGGGAUUUUUGUGGUGUUUGGACUAUCGGCAGAUUGAAAUGGUAUUUUGUAUAAGGGUUAGGGUAUCCCUAAAAUACCCUCAUUUAAUUUAUUUUUUCUUUGCUGAUAAAAAACAUUGAAGAUACAAACAUUUA